AGUGAACGCUGGCGGUAGGCCUAACACAUGCAAGUCGAACGGCAGCACAGUAAGAGCUUGCUCUUACGGGUGGCGAGUGGCGGACGGGUGAGGAAUACAUCGGAAUCUACUUUUUCGUGGGGGAUAACGUAGGGAAACUUACGCUAAUACCGCAUACGACCUACGGGUGAAAGCAGGGGAUCUUCGGACCUUGCGCGAUUGAAUGAGCCGAUGUCGGAUUAGCUAGUUGGCGGGGUAAAGGCCCACCAAGGCGACGAUCCGUAGCUGGUCUGAGAGGAUGAUCAGCCACACUGGAACUGAGACACGGUCCAGACUCCUACGGGAGGCAGCAGUGGGGAAUAUUGGACAAUGGGCGCAAGCCUGAUCCAGCCAUACCGAGUGGGUGAAGAAGGCCUUCGGGGUGUAAAGCCCUUUUGUUGGGAAAGAAAAGCAGCAGGUUAAUACCCCGCUGUUCUGACGGUACCCAAAGAAUAAGCACCGGCUAACUUCGUG
RNAcentral lists this ribosomal RNA (492 nucleotides) under uncultured bacterium. RNAcentral describes it as "partial 16S ribosomal RNA". It matches the Rfam family "Bacterial small subunit ribosomal RNA", at positions 29 to 507 of the family's 1533-position model. The record is from RNAcentral.